RNAcentral lists this ribosomal RNA (346 nucleotides) under Sigmops gracilis (slender fangjaw). RNAcentral describes it as "partial 12S rRNA". It matches the Rfam family "Bacterial small subunit ribosomal RNA", at positions 870 to 1384 of the family's 1533-position model. Lineage: Eukaryota; Metazoa; Chordata; Actinopteri; Stomiiformes; Gonostomatidae. The record is from RNAcentral.
CGCCAGGGGACUACGAGCGUAAGCUUAAAACCCAAGGAUUUGGCGGCACUUCAAACCCAUCUAGAGGAGCCUGUUCUAAAACCGAUUAUCCCCGUUCAACCUUACCACCCCUUGCCAACCCCGCCUAUAUACCGCCGUCGCCAGCUUACCCCUCAAGUGCCCCCCAGUAAGCAAAAUAGGCACAACCUAAAACGUCAGGUCGAGGUGUAGCGCACGCAGUGGAAAGAAUGGGCUACAUUUCCUAUAAUAGGUACCACGACAGAUACUAUGAAACAAGUAUCCAAAGCCGGAUUUAGCAGUAAGGUAGAAAACAGCGUGUUCUCCUGAAACAGGGCCUGAAGCGCGU